UGGGGAAUCUUGCGCAAUGGGCGAAAGCCUGACGCAGCGAUGCCGCGUGCGGGAUGAAGGCCUUCGGGUUGUAAACCGCUUUCAGCAGGGACGAAAUUGACGGUACCUGCAGAAGAAGCCCCGGCCAACUACGUGCCAGCAGCCGCGGUAAUACGUAGGGGGCGAGCGUUGUCCGGAUUUAUUGGGCGUAAAGAGCUCGUAGGCGGUUCGGUAAGUCGGAUGUGAAAUCUCCACGCUCAACGUGGAGAGGCCAUUCGAUACUGCCGUGACUCGAGUCCGGUAGGGGAGUGUGGAAUUCCCGGUGUAGCGGUGAAAUGCGCAGAGAUCGGGAGGAACACCCGUAGCGAGGGCGGCACUCUGGGCCGGUACUGACGCUGAGGAGCGAAAGCGUGGGGAGCAAACAGG
Molecule: ribosomal RNA, 405 nt
Filed under: bacterium
Lineage: Bacteria
Description: partial 16S ribosomal RNA
Rfam family: Bacterial small subunit ribosomal RNA
Source: RNAcentral